Molecule: ribosomal RNA, 466 nt
Filed under: uncultured bacterium
Lineage: Bacteria
Description: partial 16S ribosomal RNA
Rfam family: Bacterial small subunit ribosomal RNA
Source: RNAcentral
GAUGAACGCUGGCGGCGUGCUUAACACAUGCAAGUCGAACGGAAAGGCCCAAGCUUGCUUGGGUACUCGAGUGGCGAACGGGUGAGUAACACGUGGGUGAUCUGCCCUGCACUUCGGGAUAAGCCUGGGAAACUGGGUCUAAUACCGGAUAGGACCACAUUUUGGAUGGUGUGGUGGAAAGUUUUUCGGUGUGGGAUGAGCUCGCGGCCUAUCAGCUUGUUGGUGGGGUAAUGGCCUACCAAGGCGUCGACGGGUAGCCGGCCUGAGAGGGUGUACGGCCACAUUGGGACUGAGAUACGGCCCAGACUCCUACGGGAGGCAGCAGUGGAGAAUAUUGCACAAUGGGCGCAAGCCUGAUGCAGCGACGCCGCGUGGGGGAUGACGGCCUUCGGGUUGUAAACUCCUUUCGCUAGGGACGAAGCGUUAUGUGACGGUACCUGGAGAAGAAGCACCGGCUAACUACGUG